CCUACGGGAGGCAGCAGUGGGGAAUAUUGGACAAUGGGGGGAACCCUGAUUCAGCCAUGCCGCGUGUGUGAAGAAGGCCCUCGGGUUGUAAAGCACUUUCAGUGAGGAAGAACGCCUGGUGGUUAAUACCCAUCAGGAAAGACAUCACUCACAGAAGAAGCACCGGCUAACUCCGUGCCAGCAGCCUCGGUAAUACGGAGGGUGCGAGCGUUAAUCGGAAUUACUGGGCGUAAAGCGCGCGUAGGUGGCUUGAUAAGCCGGUUGUGAAAGCCCCGGGCUCAACCUGGGAACGGCAUCCGGAACUGUCAAGCUAGAGUGCAGGAGAGGAAGGUAGAAUUCCCGGUGUAGCGGUGAAAUGCGUAGAGAUCGGGAGGAAUACCAGUGGCGAAGGCGGCCUUCUGGACUGACACUGACACUGAGGUGCGAAAGCGUGGGUAGCAAACAGGAUUAGAUACCCCAGUAGUC
This 465-nucleotide ribosomal RNA is filed under the name Vreelandella stevensii. RNAcentral describes it as "partial 16S ribosomal RNA". It matches the Rfam family "Bacterial small subunit ribosomal RNA", at positions 338 to 795 of the family's 1533-position model. The record is from RNAcentral. Lineage: Bacteria; Pseudomonadati; Pseudomonadota; Gammaproteobacteria; Oceanospirillales; Halomonadaceae.